Molecule: ribosomal RNA, 503 nt
Filed under: uncultured bacterium
Lineage: Bacteria
Description: partial 16S ribosomal RNA
Rfam family: Bacterial small subunit ribosomal RNA
Source: RNAcentral
AUUGAACGCUGGCGGCAGGCUUAACACAUGCAAGUCGAGCGGGGUGAUGGUGCUUGCACUAUCACUUAGCGGCGGACGGGUGAGUAAUGCUUAGGAAUCUGCCUAUUAGUGGGGGACAACAUCUCGAAAGGGAUGCUAAUACCGCAUACGUCCUACGGGAGAAAGCAGGGGAUCACUUGUGACCUUGCGCUAAUAGAUGAGCCUAAGUGGGAUUAGCUAGAUGGUGGGGUAAAGGCCUACCAAGGCGACGAUCUGUAGCGGGUCUGAGAGGAUGAUCCGCCACACUGGGACAGGGACACGGCCCAGACUCCGACGGGAGGCAGCAGUGGGGAAUAUUGGACAAUGGGGGGAACCCUGAUCCAGCCAUGCCGCGUGUGUGAAGAAGGCCUUAUGGUUGUAAAGCACUUUAAGCGAGGAGGAGGCUCUUUUGGUUAAUACCCAAGAUGAGUGGACGUUACUCGCAGAAUAAGCACCGGCUAACUCUGUGCCAGCCGCCGCCGUAA